Molecule: long non-coding RNA, 544 nt
Organism: Herpailurus yagouaroundi (jaguarundi)
Lineage: Eukaryota; Metazoa; Chordata; Mammalia; Carnivora; Felidae
Exons: 3
Source: RefSeq, a predicted model, not a curated record
CCGCCUGAGUCCCUGGAAGGAGGAGGGCCAGGACAUCCUGGAUUUCUUCAGGCCGGGCCGGUGGCCGGUCUCCACGGCGUAGGAGGUGCGGUCCAUGGCGCGGCAGUACAGGAAUUGUUAGCUCCAGACGCAGAAAAAGCAGCGGUGGUAGUGAGAGCAGCCUAGUGGGUCCAGAGCGCCUGAACCCUGAGACCGGAGCAGCUGAAAAGUUGGACAGCUCCUGACUGAUGCAAGUGGGACUAAUGGCAGUGUCCAAAGAAUGCCUAGGAAGGCAUCAAGCUGGUAUCUUUCCAAACAAGAAAGGAAAUAAAAGGAAGUAUUAUGCAGUGUAAAUCAGGUUUUUUUUCAAUUCACUGCAUUAUUAAUAGUUGGAACCAUUUCAAAGAAGUAUACAAAUUUCUUUUUUCCUCUGAAAUCGUUGCCACUUUUUCUGCUCAAUAGAGCUAUGUCAGGAUAUCUAUCUGAAACUUAUUCUUGCUUCUCAAACAGUAACAAUACAGUUUGUGAUCUUCUUUCCAGAAUAAAUGGAAUCAUUUAAACCUAA